UACGAAGGGGGCUAGCGUUGUUCGGAUUUACUGGGCGUAAAGCGCACGUAGGCGGAUCGUUAAGUCGGGGGUGAAAUCCUGGAGCUCAACUCCAGAACUGCCUUCGAUACUGGCGAUCUCGAGUCCGGAAGAGGUGAGUGGAACUCCUAGUGUAGAGGUGGAAUUCGUAGAUAUUAGGAAGAACACCAGUGGCGAAGGCGACUCACUGGUCCGGUACUGACGCUGAGACGCGAAAGCGUGGGGAGCGAACAGG
RNAcentral lists this ribosomal RNA (253 nucleotides) under uncultured bacterium. RNAcentral describes it as "partial 16S ribosomal RNA". It matches the Rfam family "Bacterial small subunit ribosomal RNA", at positions 524 to 776 of the family's 1533-position model. The record is from RNAcentral.